Molecule: ribosomal RNA, 460 nt
Filed under: uncultured bacterium
Lineage: Bacteria
Description: partial 16S ribosomal RNA
Rfam family: Bacterial small subunit ribosomal RNA
Source: RNAcentral
CCUACGGGAGGCAGCAGUGAGGAAUAUUGGUCAAUGGGCGCGAGCCUGAACCAGCCAAGUCGCGUGAAGGAUGACUGCCCUACGGGUUGUAAACUUCUUUUAUAAAGGAGUAAACUGAGGCACGUGUGCCUUUUUGUAUGUACUUUAUGAAUAAGGAUCGGCUAACUCCGUGCCAGCAGCCGCGGUAAUACGGAGGAUCCGAGCUUUAUCCGGAUUUAUUGGGUUUAAAGGGUGCGUAGAUGGGUUGUUAAGUCAGUUGUGAAAGUUUGAGGCUCAACCGUAAAAUUGCAAUUGAUACUGGCAGCCUUGAGUACAGUUGAGGUAGGCGGAAUUCGUGGUGUAGCGGUGAAAUGCUUAGAUAUCACGAAGAACUCCGAUUGCGAAGGCAGCUUACUAAACUGCCACUGACAUUGAUGCUCGAAGGUGUGGGUAUCAAACAGGAUUAGAUACCCGUGUAGUC